Molecule: long non-coding RNA, 524 nt
Organism: Hibiscus syriacus
Lineage: Eukaryota; Viridiplantae; Streptophyta; Magnoliopsida; Malvales; Malvaceae
Exons: 3
Source: RefSeq, a predicted model, not a curated record
CAAUAUGAUAAAUCAGUCUUGCAGAGAUGAUGUUUAUCUCUCUCAGAAAUGCUUGUUAGAGUUGUUAAGGAAAGUUGUAGAGCAGCAGAAAAUGCUUGAAGAAAACUGAAAGAGGAUAGUUUUUAAAUAGUUGUGUUGCAAUUAAUAUGUUUACUAUGUUAUAUUUCAGGAGGAGCUAGCCAGAGGAAAAGUUGCUGAAUUCCAACCAAAUUUGUUAUGCUUGGGUUGUCCCCAUCAGAUUAUGUCCUUUGUGCUCUCUCAAAUAUUAGCACCAAUGAUCUGGAGCAGACUUUACUGGCAUUACCAUUCUCAGGUGCACUCAAGCUGCUCUCCUAUACGAAGGACUGGACUUCAAAUCCUGACAAGGCUGGCGUCUACGCUUUAUAAAUGUGCUUUUGGUCAGAUGUUUUGGUUGAGCUAGUUUGCAGGAUCGUUUCAAUUUUGUUGCAGACACACCAUAGUUAAUUAGUACCUCAUCUGCCAGACCGGUGCUGGCUGUUCUAAAGGAGAUUAUUUGUGCUCGA